This is a long non-coding RNA of Frankliniella occidentalis (western flower thrips), 508 nucleotides long. RefSeq lists it as uncharacterized. The transcript is spliced from 3 exons. The record is from RefSeq and is a predicted model, not a curated record. Lineage: Eukaryota; Metazoa; Arthropoda; Insecta; Thysanoptera; Thripidae.
GGCAGGAGGAGAGGAUGCACAACAGCUGAUGAAACCAUGUGACCCGUGACCCUGAUAAAUGUGAAGAAAUGUGAAGUUGAGUCGUCUCAACUUUGAUUAAAGUGGCGAACAAAACCUUGGUGUACAUUCUCGGUAUUGUGUAGGGGCAAGUCUAUCUGCUGUCAGAAGUCUGUCUUCCAUUCCACAUUCUUCAUCAUUUGCAUCAUUUAAGAUGAAGUGCAGUGAUAAAACGUGCUGGAGAACAGUUUGGACGAGUUAUUGUUAUGAAUAUAAUUGAUCAGCAUUUGAAUGCAGUCAGACAUUACAUCUCAUACAAGAAAACCUUCUCUAAGUGGGGUAUCACGUUUACGCUCGUGAGAAGGAUUGCGAAUGGAGCCAUGCCCUGGUUCCUGUUCCAGUGAUUCUGAAAGCUAUGCUGGCCUAGAGGUUCUCAUGCCAGAUUGGUUUCAUUUGAGGGACCAGACUAAGAAACCCCACAUUAAGAUCAAUUUGACAGCAAUAUGACCUA